Molecule: non-coding RNA, 78 nt
Organism: Podarcis lilfordi (Lilford's wall lizard)
Lineage: Eukaryota; Metazoa; Chordata; Lepidosauria; Squamata; Lacertidae
Source: the annotation of a GenBank genome assembly
GCCCAAGUGGAUAGUGCAGUUGGUUAGAGCAUGGUGCUGAUAAUGCCAAGGUUGUAGGUUCGAUCCCCGUAUGGGACA